AGUGAACGCUGGCGGUAGGCCUAACACAUGCAAGUCGAACGGCAGCACAGUAAGAGCUUGCUCUUACGGGUGGCGAGCGGCGGACGGGGGCGGAAUACACCGGAAUCCACUUUUUCGUGGGGGCUAACGCAGGGAAACUUACGCUAACACCACAUACGACCUACGGGUGAAAGCAGGCGUUCUUUUGACCUUGCGCGAUUGAAAGAGCCGAUGUCGGAUUAGCUAGAUGGCGGGGCAAAGGCGCACCAAGGCUACGAUCCGUAGCUGGUACGAGAGGAAGAUCAGACAGAUUGGAUCUGAGACAGAGUCCAGACUCCGAGAGUAAGCAACAGUGGAGAAUACUACAGGAUGCGGGAAAGGCGAAUCCUGGAAUAUCGCGUAAGUGAAGAAGGACUUAGGGUUGUAAAGCCCUGUUGUUCGGAAAGAAAAGCAGCAGGUUAAUCCCCCAUUGUAAUGACGGUACCCAAAGAAUAAGCACCGGCUAACUUCGUG
This 492-nucleotide ribosomal RNA is filed under the name uncultured bacterium. RNAcentral describes it as "partial 16S ribosomal RNA". It matches the Rfam family "Bacterial small subunit ribosomal RNA", at positions 29 to 507 of the family's 1533-position model. The record is from RNAcentral.